RNAcentral lists this long non-coding RNA (1077 nucleotides) under Anas platyrhynchos platyrhynchos (common mallard). RNAcentral describes it as "lncRNA (ENSAPLG00000030554.1)". Lineage: Eukaryota; Metazoa; Chordata; Aves; Anseriformes; Anatidae. The record is from RNAcentral.
AUGAUGAUUUUCCUCUUCCAGCACUGGGUCUUGCUGGCUGUAGACUUGUUCCUUGCGAUGACCCUUUCCUGCCUCCUUUAUGCCUUUGUGUUUGUUUCCGUCGUCUUUUUGGCCUGCUGCAUUAUCUUCUUGUCCUUCGGCAUUGUGGAGAAGAACAUUGACGUAAAAGGGAGAGCAAUUGUCAUUCUCGUGUCCAACAGCUCCAUUGGGAGGACAUUUGCCAGGAACCUGGAUAAAGCAGGUUUUAGGGUGUCUGCUGCACACUGGCCUCCUCGAGAGGAGGGGAUGACCACGAAAGAAGAGUGCUCUUCGAGCAUGGAGGUAGCACAGCUCCACAUGACUGACGAUGAGUACCAGAAGACAGUGAAAACCUUCAUAGAAAGCCACUUGUCCCUGAAAGGCCCUGCGCAGGACAGCUGUGCUGGAAGGCAGAGCACUCACCAGGAGCCGCCCCUGCUGCAGGCACCCCCAGAGACACGGCAUGUACGGGCUGAUGAAGAAGCCGUCAAUCUUGAUAUGGGAAGAAGAGGAGCCAGACACAUGCAGGUCACCCGGGAGAAAAACCUCUUACACAUGGAAAAGGGUUUUCAAGAGCCCAGCCCUCUGUGUCGCUGUCCUCUUCUGCCCACUGAACUGUGCCCUGACUUCCCUGAAGAAGAGAGCUCUGCAGCUCCUUGUGCCCCUGAAGCCCAAAAACUGAGAGGUGGUCGCAAACAGUUUGGUUAUUUGUGGAAGUAUUUUUCCAGGAACCGAAGCUAAGCUGACAGGUCUGUAACUGCCAACCUGCCAUUUAGCACCACUUCUGUACCAACGAGCUCGAGCCCGCACCUCGUAGCACCGGGCUCUGCUCCAACAGACCACUUUAGCACGCACUUAAUUGCAAGAGAGAGAGACGUCUGUGGCUGCAGGGGGGAGGAGUCGCACGGCUAACGUUACACGUGUGCUUGGAUAUUCCUCCAGCUCCUAACCAUAGGCACACCAAGGAAGCCCCCCCAAACCAAGCCGAACAAAGACAAUACACGUCUUCAUACAGUGCUUAUGACUUUAUGAGUGCAAAUACCAAUAAAUAUCAAACAU